RNAcentral lists this ribosomal RNA (394 nucleotides) under uncultured bacterium. Its description in RNAcentral is "bacterial SSU rRNA". It matches the Rfam family "Bacterial small subunit ribosomal RNA", at positions 30 to 426 of the family's 1533-position model. The record is from RNAcentral.
AUUGAACGCUGGCGGCAUGCCUUACACAUGCAAGUCGAACGGCAGCACGGGAGCAAUCCUGGUGGCGAGUGGCGAACGGGUGAGUAAUGUAUCGGAACGUACCUUUCAGUGGGGGAUAACGUAGCGAAAGUUACGCUAAUACCGCAUAUUCUGUGAGCAGGAAAGCAGGGGAUCGCAAGACCUUGCGCUGAUUGAGCGGCCGAUAUCAGAUUAGCUAGUUGGUGAGGUAAAGGCUCACCAAGGCGACGAUCUGUAGCGGGUCUGAGAGGAUGAUCCGCCACACUGGAACCGAGACACGGUCCAGACUCCUACGGAGGCAGCAGUGGGGAAUUUUGGACAAUGGGCGCAAGCCUGAUCCAGCCAUGCCGCGUGAGUGAAGAAGGCCUCGGGUUGU